Molecule: ribosomal RNA, 349 nt
Filed under: uncultured Pseudomonas sp.
Lineage: Bacteria; Pseudomonadati; Pseudomonadota; Gammaproteobacteria; Pseudomonadales; Pseudomonadaceae
Description: bacterial SSU rRNA
Rfam family: Bacterial small subunit ribosomal RNA
Source: RNAcentral
ACAGGUGCUGCAUGGCUGUCGUCAGCUCGUGUCGUGAGAUGUUGGGUUAAGUCCGUAACGAGCGCAACCCUUGUCCUUAGUUACCAGCACGUUAUGGUGGGCGACUCUAAGGAGACUGCCGGUGACAACCGGAGGAAGGUGGGGAGUGACGUCAAGUCAUCAUGGCCCUUGCGGCCUGGGCUACACACGUGCUACAAUGGUCGGUACAAAGGGUUGCCAAGCCGCGAGGUGGAGCUAAUCCCAUAAAACCGAUCGUAGUCCGGAUCGCAGUCUGCAACUCGACUGCGUGAAGUCGGAAUCGCUAGUAAUCGUGAAUCAGAAUGUCACGGUGAAUACGUUCCCGGGCCUU